GUGAGGAAUAUUGGUCAAUGGGCGGGAGCCUGAACCAGCCAAGUCGCGUGAAGGAAGAAGGAUCUAUGGUUCGUAAACUUCUUUUGCAGGGGAAUAAAGUGCAGGACGUGUCCUGUUUUGUAUGUACCCUGAGAAUAAGGAUCGGCUAACUCCGUGCCAGCAGCCGCGGUAAUACGGAGGAUCCGAGCGUUAUCCGGAUUUAUUGGGUUUAAAGGGUGCGUAGGUGGUUUGAUAAGUCAGCGGUGAAAGUUUGCAGCUUAACUGUAAAAAUGCCGUUGAAACUGUCGGACUGGAGUGUAAAUGAGGUAGGCGGAAUGCGUGGUGUAGCGGUGAAAUGCAUAGAUAUCACGCAGAACUCCGAUUGCGAAGGCAGCUUACUAAGCUACAACUGACACUGAAGCACGAAAGCGUGGGGAUCAAACAGGAUUAGAUACCCGAGUAGUCC
This 445-nucleotide ribosomal RNA is filed under the name uncultured bacterium. Its description in RNAcentral is "partial 16S ribosomal RNA". It matches the Rfam family "Bacterial small subunit ribosomal RNA", at positions 354 to 796 of the family's 1533-position model. The record is from RNAcentral.